CGUUAUAGAUGAGCAUUUCUCAACCUUUUUCGUGAUUUGGCUUCCCUUGGACAUUGAAAAAAUUUAUUUCGGCUCCCCUGUGUUGAUGAAAAAUUUAAUCCAGCUUCCCAUGUAUCUGAGAUAGACCGGCCGGCCCAUGAUAAAUCUGACAAAAGGGGGGACCCGCAGAACUACCAGCUCACGAACUGCAUCUGAAAGUUGGCGCGCCAAUCAUGCUGCUAAGGAAUUUAGAUGCUCCAAUAAUGUGCAAUGGUACGCGGAUGAUUAUUAAAAAAUUGUGCUCCUGAGUUCUGUAGGCAACAAUCUUGAACGAACCGACCGCUGGCUAAGACAUACUUAUAACUCCCAUGUCCCUUACCCACUCCGAUACGACCUACAAGUUUAAACAGAUGCAAUUUCCCAUCAAACUGCUUUCCCAUGACACUCAACAAGGCGCAGGGACAAUCAGUGCAAGCGGUUGGUUUGUAUCUGACAGAGCAAGUAUUCUCACACGCACAACUGUACGUUGGCUGUCCCAUGGUCUUUCUAUUUGUGCACCCGAGGGAAGGACGAAGAAUGUUGUCUACCAAGAUAACAAUGAUAACAACAGCAACUGCUCCAAUUUCAACUCCGCAAUUUUUUCAUCGUCCUGCUAGCCCACCUGGACAUGUUUCCAUGGAAGACUGGAAAUGAGUGGCACCACUUGUAUGACUGAUGCUCUUUACAACUAUCAUGUAAUGUCCAGGACUUGAAGGAACAAUCUUAGAGAUAAUUAACUGCAAUUCCUAACAGACCAAACAACCAUACAGAAGAAGGGUUGGUAAGGAGGGUGGGCAAUUCCUCACUUAUUGUCAAAAUGUCUUCAAAUAUCCAGUCACUCACUAAUGAACUCUUUAAAAAUCAACAUGUACAGAAAAUAAUAUUUGGCAAUCUUUCGAUACCAGUCCGAAAUAUCGGCCUUUUCUAUAAAAAGUGUCUUCAGUGAUCUU
This is a long non-coding RNA of Octopus bimaculoides (California two-spot octopus), 968 nucleotides long. Lineage: Eukaryota; Metazoa; Mollusca; Cephalopoda; Octopoda; Octopodidae. The record is from RefSeq and is a predicted model, not a curated record.